This 497-nucleotide ribosomal RNA is filed under the name uncultured bacterium. RNAcentral describes it as "partial 16S ribosomal RNA". It matches the Rfam family "Bacterial small subunit ribosomal RNA", at positions 28 to 507 of the family's 1533-position model. The record is from RNAcentral.
GAUGAACGCUGGCGGCGUGCCUAAUACAUGCAAGUCGAGCGAACAGACGAGGAGCUUGCUCCUCUGACGUUAGCGGCGGACGGGUGAGUAACACGUGGAUAACCUACCUAUAAGACUGGGAUAACUUCGGGAAACCGGAGCUAAUACCGGAUAAUAUAUUGAACCGCAUGGUUCAAUAGUGAAAGACGGUUUUGCUGUCACUUAUAGAUGGAUCCGCGCCGCAUUAGCUAGUUGGUAAGGUAACGGCUUACCAAGGCAACGAUGCGUAGCCGACCUGAGAGGGUGAUCGGCCACCCUGGAACUGAGACACGGUCCAGACUCCUACGGGAGGCAGCAGUAGGGAAUCUUCCGCAAUGGGCGAAAGCUUGACGGAGCAACGCCGCGUGAGUGAUGAAGGUCUUCGGAUCGUAAAACUCUGUUAUUAGGGACGAACAAAUGUGUAAGUAACUAUGCACGUCUUGACGGUACCUAAUCAGAAAGCCACGGCUAACUACGUG